This 395-nucleotide unclassified non-coding RNA is filed under the name uncultured bacterium. Its description in RNAcentral is "contains 16S-23S intergenic spacer region". The record is from RNAcentral.
UCCCCGUUGAAACGGGGCAGUUUCCGAAGUAAUUGUAACAUCGGAUAGGGGUUGCGCUCGUUGCGGGACUUAACCCUACAUCUCACGACACGAGCUGACGACAGCCAUGCAGCACCUCUAUAGCACCUUCGAAAGAAUCCUCUUUUCGGAGGAUGUGCAGCUACAGUUCAAGCCCAGGUGAGGUUCUUCGCUAAUCAUCGAAUUAAACCAGGCGCUCCACUGCUUGUGCGGGUCCCCGUCAAUUCCUUUGGGUUUUAACCUUGCGGUCGUACUUCCCAGGCGCCUCGCUUAACGCGUUAGCUGCGACACUCACUUUACCCCAUAAACCUUAGACCGAAGUCUAAAAUAAAAAGAUAAAACAAAUAUCUAGCGAGGAUUGUUUACAGCGUGGACUA